Molecule: non-coding RNA, 104 nt
Organism: Xylaria acuta
Lineage: Eukaryota; Fungi; Ascomycota; Sordariomycetes; Xylariales; Xylariaceae
Source: the annotation of a GenBank genome assembly
GGGCGUGUAGCUCAGGGGUAGAGCGCUCGCUUUGCAUCCGCCUCGCCACCUUGGUUAAGGCGUAAAAAUGCGAGAGGCCUAGGGUUCAAAUCCCUACUCGUCCA